UUCAUCUCUUUCACAUAUUAGCCAUGUUCUCUUCCACUACAAGUGUGAAGUGCAUCGUGUGUGCUAGCAUGCUCUCUAGUGAAACAAAACAAAGACUAUCAAACUUCAACAGAGUCCUCACUAUGAGCCGUUAAUCAGAAUCAGGCUUAAACACUUCUUUACUAAAGAGUCAACUACAAUUUAGGGUCACUAAAGAAUUCCUAUGCCUCUCCUAUUUUUUUU
Molecule: long non-coding RNA, 222 nt
Filed under: Daucus carota (carrot)
Lineage: Eukaryota; Viridiplantae; Streptophyta; Magnoliopsida; Apiales; Apiaceae
Description: long non-coding RNA (DCAR_LNC006745)
Source: RNAcentral